This 523-nucleotide ribosomal RNA is filed under the name uncultured bacterium. Its description in RNAcentral is "bacterial SSU rRNA". It matches the Rfam family "Bacterial small subunit ribosomal RNA", at positions 91 to 590 of the family's 1533-position model. The record is from RNAcentral.
UAAAGUGGCGCACGGGUGAGUAACGCGUGGGUAAUCUACCCUCGAAUCGGGGAUAACAUUGCGAAAGCGAUGCUAAUACCGGAUAACAUCCUUUGAACUUCGGUUCUUUGGAUCAAGGGUGGCCUCUACAUGUAAGCUACUGUUUGAAGAUGAGCCCGCGUACCAUUAGCUUGUUGGUAGGGUAACGGCCUACCAAGGCUCCGAUGGUUAGCUGGUCUGAGAGGAUGAUCAGCCACACUGGAACUGACACACGGUCCAGACUCCUACGGGAGGCAGCAGUGAGGAAUUUUGCGCAAUGGGGGAAACCCUGACGCAGCAACGCCGCGUGAGUGAUGAAGGCUUUCGGGUCGUAAAGCUCUGUCAAGUGGGAAGAAACUAUCCUGUGCCAAUACCACGGGAUACUGACGGUACCACUGAAGGAAGCACCGGCUAACUCCGUGCCAGCAGCCGCGGUAAUACGGGGGGUGCAAGCGUUAUUCGGAAUCAUUGGGCGUAAAGGGCGCGCAGGCGGUCUCAUAAGUCA